GAGAGAGGGGUGAGGAUGUCAGUGUCGAUCUUUGAUUCAGUGAGUGAGAGUGUGAUGGUGAAAGAGAGGGGGAUCAUCGGGAUUUCAGGGAGAGAAACACAGAGAGAGGGGUGAUGGUGAACAGGCGCGAGUACGGUCCCUUUGUCCGGGAUUCACUCUUCAUCGUCCAUACUCUAUUGCAUGCUCAGAUAAGUGUCUUUUUCAAUUACAUUUUCUAUUAAAAUCUCUAUUUUUUUUUAUUGUUUCUUGCAUUUAUAUCUGCGUGAAUAUGGUGAUUGAAAAGCCCAAAAAAAAAUUUCCAAAUCUUUUUGUACUGUUUUGUUAGGUUAGGCAACAUGGUUUUUGGUUUUUGGUUUUUUUUUUUUUUUAAUCGGUUGGGGGAUUUUCUGGGCGUCUAUUUAUUUGUUUGCCCUUUGGUUUGUUUUUCAUUCUGGAUUCCCCUCUUUCAUUAGGAGUACAAAAAUUCCAAAGGUAAACAUGCAAUCCCUUGCUUCGCUUUUCUGUCCAUAAGCAAGAAUCGGUAAAAUAAGUGUGGUUCUUGGAUCUGCGGUCUGAAACAAAAAAAGAUGUCUACUCUCUGUGCCAGCUAAUGUAUCUAUGAUUUCUUUGCAGGACGCUACUGCAACACUCAAGUCCGUUUGGAAAAUACUUAGGGAUCUCAAACCCAAGGAGAAAGAUUUGGAGCAAGUGACUCAUAAAGAUAAACUUCGAUAUCGAAAUUAAUGGAAACCCAUUGAUCGCGUUGUAAUGGGUCUCUUUGGAAAAACAAUUCUUAAGACCAAUUGUGAGGUUUGUUCUUAUAUGGUACAUGAGUGUUUUUAUAAUUCUUUUGCACAGUUGUUAGUAUUUGUAGUUGUGAUUGGUGUUGUCCUACAUGUUUGGCUUAAAGAAAUAAGACACUACUUUUGAUAAACCAUAUUGAGAGUGAAGGAAUCUCCUUUUGACCUGAUCAUGUUGGAGUACAUUUCUACUAACUGGGUACAUUAUGGAAAUUCAUGGACUCUUUUA
This is a long non-coding RNA of Malus domestica (apple), 1008 nucleotides long. RefSeq lists it as uncharacterized. The record is from RefSeq and is a predicted model, not a curated record. Lineage: Eukaryota; Viridiplantae; Streptophyta; Magnoliopsida; Rosales; Rosaceae.